CCUACGGGCGGCUGCAGUAAGGAAUAUUGGUCAAUGGACGCAAGUCUGAACCAGCCAUGCCGCGUGGAGGAUGAAGGUCCUCUGGAUUGUAAACUUCUUUUAUUUGGGAAGAAACUCCCGAUUUCCAUCGGGAUUGACGGUACCAGAUGAAUAAGCACCGGCUAACUCCGUGCCAGCAGCCGCGGUAAUACGGAGGGUGCAGGCGUUAUCAGGAUUAACGGGUGUUUAAGGGGGCAGGGGAGUCAGUGGAGAAAGCUCCGGGCUUAACCCGGAAACUGCCAUUGAUACUAUUUGUCUUGAAUACUCUGGAGGUGAGCGGAAUAUGUCAUGUAGCGGUGAAAUGCUUAGAUAUGACAUAGAACACCCAUUGCGAAGGCAGCUCACUACGGAAAUAUUGACGCUGAGGCACGAAAGCGUGGGGAUCAAACAGGAUUAGAUACCCCUGUAGUC
This 450-nucleotide ribosomal RNA is filed under the name uncultured bacterium. RNAcentral's name for it is "partial 16S ribosomal RNA". It matches the Rfam family "Bacterial small subunit ribosomal RNA", at positions 338 to 795 of the family's 1533-position model. The record is from RNAcentral.